This 300-nucleotide ribosomal RNA is filed under the name uncultured Enterorhabdus sp. RNAcentral describes it as "bacterial SSU rRNA". It matches the Rfam family "Bacterial small subunit ribosomal RNA", at positions 495 to 795 of the family's 1533-position model. Lineage: Bacteria; Bacillati; Actinomycetota; Coriobacteriia; Eggerthellales; Eggerthellaceae. The record is from RNAcentral.
GGCGAAGCGCGGGCCCGCGGCGUGGGUGAGAGGGGGGGGGCGAGCGUGGUUCGGAAUUACUGGGCGUAAAGCGCGCGUAGGCGGCUUUGUAAGUUAGAGGUGAAAGCCCGGAGCUCAACUCCGGAACUGCCUUUAAGACUGCAUCGCUAGAAUUGUGGAGAGGUAAGUGGAAUUCCGAGUGUAGAGGUGAAAUUCGUAGAUAUUCGGAAGAACACCAGUGGCGAAGGCGACUUACUGGACACAUAUUGACGCUGAGGUGCGAAAGCGUGGGGAGCAAACAGGAUUAGAACCCCUGUAGUC